UGUCCUGAAUUGACCAAUUGCUCUCCGUUGAAUCUUGAUUUUCACCAAUAGAAGGGGAUGUUUAAAUUAGAUCAACCAGUGAUCAACCAGUUCUCUAAAAUAGCUCAGAGGUGCAUCUCAUGAAUCUUCAGUCGGCAAGCAUGUAGUGACAGAGCACAACAGUGUUACGAUCUGGCGAUGGAGGAUCAACAAGGAGAUGAACGGAGUUAACAGCUGAUAAGAAGAAGAGGAGUAAGAGGUGGAUGGGGAGGAAAGGCAGAGGAGGAGAGCUCCGUCGAAGCCUGUUUUUACUCAACGCUUUGGUGAGCUCUGGGCUCCUCCGCUGUCACUCAUCCAUCCAUCAUCCAUCCAUCCAGUUUGGGGAGGCUGGGAAGCAUGGAGCCUACGCCAAGGGGCACAGGACGCAAGCCAGGGGACGUCCCGGAUGCAAUGGGCAGUGUCAGGACUGCAGGAGGAAAUCACUGUACAAAAUGGGGAGGACAGGAGUGGGACUCGAACCCUCCCUAAACUGGCAAGAGUGCCACCCACUGCACCAGUACAAAAUAAAAUGCGACUUAAUUGUGUACCUAUGAUCAUACUGCAAUACUACAAAAGACGUCUCCAGUGCCCCCCACUGGAACAUGCCACAGUUCGCAGAGAUAAGACUCUUUGUGUGUGUGACUGUGCCUUGCAUGUCUAUGAAUGCAUGUGGAAAGGUGAAGGAGGGAUGCAGGAUGAGUUUAAUGGUGUCUUGUUCACUCAUUCAUCUUUUAUGUAUUAUCCCAGUCCUACAAGUGACAGUAAGACCAGCUGGAAGCCCCCAUGUCACUCACUUCUGGAGUGUGGGUUUGAACCUCACCCCUACUGUUCUCCCUGUGUCGCAUGGGUUCCCUCUCAGUGCUCCUUUCUCUGCCCACAGCCCAAAGAUGAGCAGUCAGCCUAACUGGUAUCUCUGAGUUUAUGUGCCUUCUGAGGAAAUGCCACCCUGUGCCAGGCAUAUCUCAGCCUUGUGCCCAGAGAUGCCAAGCAUAGGCCCUCAACCCCCCUAUGACCUGGAGGUGAGCUAUUUGCAUAACCAGUUAAUAGAGAAAGCGCUUCAAGUCAAACCCCAAAGUACCGAAGUACUAAAAGAAGUAUCCAGUCGGUUUGGCACUUUUGGUCCUGGUACUCAUCUGGAAGUCAAAGGAAAAGGUAAAGUAUUGAAAUGACUACACCGAAAGUACAGUACCUGGCACGCUGCAAAAGCGCCCUAUAAGUACCGGACAUGUGAGCGUCCAUGCAUUUCGGAGGUUGCUCUGUUCAUAGUCAAAAAGAUGAGGGUAUAUAGAACACGGUGUGAGUACGCUAUUUGCACGACUGACCCACCACCAUCCGGUGCUCUGUACCAGGCCUGAGCAUGCCUGCCCUCUGCUGGCCGUUACUGCCUUCUCUUGUAGCUUUCCAGAAUUGUUUCACUUGAAAUUCACCAUUCAAUGCAAUACGUUUUAUACUUGAAACUUGGAUGGUGAGAGAUCGCCCCCUUGAGGCUGAGUCUUUGAAUUACAUUCUUUGGGUUAUUGCAUUUUUUCCAGACUAUCUCCAAACCAUAACGUUAUUCAUAUUAAUUGAAUUGAAUUUAAUUUAUACUUCAUCGCCAAUAAAUGUGAAUAUUAUUAAAAUACUCAAUGUAAAAAAUAAUUACAUUCUGGAAGUCCGCUUUGAAACGUCUAAAAUAAUAAUC
Brienomyrus brachyistius is the source of this 1699-nucleotide long non-coding RNA. RefSeq lists it as uncharacterized. NCBI's taxonomy places the organism in Eukaryota, Metazoa, Chordata, Actinopteri, Osteoglossiformes, Mormyridae. The transcript has 3 exons. The record is from RefSeq and is a predicted model, not a curated record.